GAUUUUAUUUUUUUGGUUAGGUAGUGCAGCUUGAGUGACGUAUUUCAGGAUAAACACUCAGAAUGACCCUUGCUUUCUCUCCAACGAAAGAGCAAUCAGCUCCACCUGCAGGAUUAAGACAUGCACGCAGACUCACAGAGCAAGGGAACAUAACAGGAUCGAAAAGGGAAGACAUUCAACGGGAACUGCAGAAUAAUGCUGGGAUAACUUCAGAAGGGAAAAGAACAGGACCACAUAAAAGAGUUUAUGAUAAACUUUACUUUGCACUGGAGAGUUAUUUAUUAGUUGGUUUGUCUGUUCAUCAUGUUGCAGCAUAAUUAAUUAACAAUGAAUCCCUUGCAUGUCCACUUCCCAUGAGAUCUCAACAGGAUUCUUAGCAGGG
Long non-coding RNA from Anguilla anguilla (European eel), 382 nucleotides. RefSeq lists it as uncharacterized. The transcript has 2 exons. Lineage: Eukaryota; Metazoa; Chordata; Actinopteri; Anguilliformes; Anguillidae. The record is from RefSeq and is a predicted model, not a curated record.